RNAcentral lists this ribosomal RNA (499 nucleotides) under uncultured bacterium. Its description in RNAcentral is "partial 16S ribosomal RNA". It matches the Rfam family "Bacterial small subunit ribosomal RNA", at positions 28 to 523 of the family's 1533-position model. The record is from RNAcentral.
GAUGAACGCUAGCGGCAGGCCUAAUACAUGCAAGUCGAGCGGCAAGUCGAGGAGUAAUCUGAGACCUAGAGCGGCGUACGGGUGCGUAACGCGUAUGCAACCUACCUCAUACAGGGGGAUAGCCCGGAGAAAUCUGGAUUAAUACCCCAUAGCACAGCACAAGGGCAUCUGCGAGCUGUUAAAGAUUCAUCGGUAUGAGAUGGGCAUGCGUCUGAUUAGCUAGUUGGCGGUGUAACGGACCACCAAGGCGACGAUCAGUAGGGGUUCUGAGAGGAAGGUCCCCCCCACUGGCACUGAGAUACGGGCCCGACUCCUACGGGAGGCAGCAGUAGGGAAUAUUGGGCAAUGGACGAGAGUCUGACCCAGCCAUGCCGCGUGCAGGAAGAAGGCCUUCUGGGUUGUAAACUGCUUUUAUCUGGGAAGAAAAGGCCCAUGCGUGGGACAUUGCCGGUACCAGAUGAAUAAGCACCGGCUAACUCCGUGCCAGCAGCCGCCGUAA